Molecule: ribosomal RNA, 374 nt
Filed under: uncultured bacterium
Lineage: Bacteria
Description: bacterial SSU rRNA
Rfam family: Bacterial small subunit ribosomal RNA
Source: RNAcentral
GGCCCGCACAAGCGGUGGAGUAUGUGGUUUAAUUCGAUGCAACGCGAAGAACCUUACCAGGGUUUGACAUCCUGCGAAUCUCUUGGAAACAGGAGAGUGCCUUCGGGAACGCAGUGACAGGUGGUGCAUGGCUGUCGUCAGCUCGUGUCGUGAGAUGUUGGGUUAAGUCCCGCAACGAGCGCAACCCACGUCUUUAGUUGCCAGCAUUAGUUGGGCACUCUAGAGAGACUGCCGGUGAUAAACCGGAGAAGGUGUGGAUGACGUCAAGUCAUCAUGCCCCUUACAUCUGGGCUACACACGUACUACAAUGCUACGGACAAAGGGCAGCAAGUUCGCGAGGACAAGCAAAUCCCAUAAACGUGGCUCAGUUCAGA